CCAGACAGCCAGGAUGUUGGCUUAGAAGCAGCCAUCAUUUAAAGAAAGCGUAAUAGCUCACUGGUCGAGUCGGCCUGCGCGGAAGAUGUAACGGGGCUAAACCAUGCACCGAAGCUGCGGCAGCGACGCUUAUGCGUUGUUGGGUAGGGGAGCGUUCUGUAAGCCUGUGAAGGUGGCCUGUGAGGGUUGCUGGAGGUAUCAGAAGUGCGAAUGCUGACAUAAGUAACGAUAAAGCGGGUGAAAAGCCCGCUCGCCGGAAGACCAAGGGUUCCUGUCCAACGUUAAUCGGGGCAGGGUGAGUCGACCCCUAAGGCGAGGCCGAAAGGCGUAGUCGAUGGGAAACAGGUUAAUAUUCCUGUACUUGGUGUUACUGCGAAGGGGGGACGGAGAAGGCUAUGUUGGCCGGGCGACGGUUGUCCCGGUUUAAGCGUGUAGGCUGGUUUUCCAGGCAAAUCCGGAAAACCAAGGCUGAGGCGUGAUGACGAGGCACUACGGUGCUGAAGCGACAAAUGCCCUGCUUCCAGGAAAAGCCUCUAAGCAUCAGGUAACAUCAAAUCGUACCCCAAACCGACACAGGUGGUCAGGUAGAGAAUACCAAGGCGCUUGAGAGAACUCGGGUGAAGGAACUAGGCAAAAUGGUGCCGUAACUUCGGGAGAAGGCACGCUGAUAUGUAGGUGAAGCGACUUGCUCGUGGAGCUGAAAUCAGUCGAAGAUACCAGCUGGCUGCAACUGUUUAUUAAAAACACAGCACUGUGCAAACACGAAAGUGGACGUAUACGGUGUGACGCCUGCCCGGUGCCGGAAGGUUAAUUGAUGGGGUUAGCGGUAACGCGAAGCUCUUGAUCGAAGCCCCGGUAAACGGCGGCCGUAACUAUAACGGUCCUAAGGUAGCGAAAUUCCUUGUCGGGUAAGUUCCGACCUGCACGAAUGGCGUAAUGAUGGCCAGGCUGUCUCCACCCGAGACUCAGUGAAAUUGAACUCGCUGUGAAGAUGCAGUGUACCCGCGGCAAGACGGAAAGACCCCGUGAACCUUUACUAUAGCUUGACACUGAACAUUGAGCCUUGAUGUGUAGGAUAGGUGGGAGGCUUUGAAGUGUGGACGCCAGUCUGCAUGGAGCCGACCUUGAAAUACCACCCUUUAAUGUUUGAUGUUCUAACGUGGGCCCCUAAUCGGGGUUGCGGACAGUGUCUGGUGGGUAGUUUGACUGGGGCGGUCUCCUCCUAAAGAGUAACGGAGGAGCACGAAGGUUGGCUAAUCCUGGUCGGACAUCAGGAGGUUAGUGCAAUGGCAUAAGCCAGC
This 1301-nucleotide ribosomal RNA is filed under the name Escherichia coli. RNAcentral describes it as "partial 23S ribosomal RNA". It matches the Rfam family "Bacterial large subunit ribosomal RNA", at positions 1085 to 2368 of the family's 2925-position model. Lineage: Bacteria; Pseudomonadati; Pseudomonadota; Gammaproteobacteria; Enterobacterales; Enterobacteriaceae. The record is from RNAcentral.